Non-coding RNA from Schizosaccharomyces pombe (fission yeast), 281 nucleotides. The record is from the annotation of a GenBank genome assembly. Lineage: Eukaryota; Fungi; Ascomycota; Schizosaccharomycetes; Schizosaccharomycetales; Schizosaccharomycetaceae.
CUGUGUCUUCAGGCUUAUGCACACUACUUUCAAAUAAUAUCAAUCCUUCUUGAGAAUUUGGCUUUGCCCGGAUUUUAAUAUGAAUUUCCCUGCGCUCACCUGGUGAAAGUGAAAACGGUUGGCUACUCUCGACAGUAAAUGUUGGGAGGUUAAAUUCUUCAAAUUGGAGUUCAUAUAAUCGAUCUGCUGUGAUACUUUUAUCCGCUAUAGCUUGCUCAAAAGCUUUGGAUGAACUGUCCUCAAAAAGAACAGAUAUGUGAGAUGCCUCAACAAAAGACGUA